UUUGACGUAAAUUGAUUUAUGUUUGGAUACACAUAUAAAAGUGAUUAUCAUGAGUUGAUGUUGUUUGGAUAG
Molecule: microRNA precursor, 72 nt
Filed under: Medicago truncatula (barrel medic)
Lineage: Eukaryota; Viridiplantae; Streptophyta; Magnoliopsida; Fabales; Fabaceae
Description: MIR5272 microRNA precursor family
Rfam family: MIR5272 microRNA precursor family
Source: Rfam by way of RNAcentral